UGAAGAGUUUGAUCCUGGCUCAGAUUGAACGCUGGCGGCAUGCCUUACACAUGCAAGUCGGACGGCAGCGCGGGGGCAACCCUGGCGGCGAGUGGCGAACGGGUGAGUAAUACAUCGGAACGUGUCCUGGAGUGGGGGAUAGCCCGGCGAAAGCCGGAUUAAUACCGCAUACGCUCGGGAGAGGAAAGCGGGGGAUCUUCGGACCUCGCGCUCAAGGGGCGGCCGAUGGCAGAUUAGCUAGUUGGUGGGGUAAAGGCCUACCAAGGCGACGAUCUGUAGCUGGUCUGAGAGGACGACCAGCCACACUGGGACUGAGACACGGCCCAGACUCCUACGGGAGGCAGCAGUGGGGAAUUUUGGACAAUGGGGGCAACCCUGAUCCAGCAAUGCCGCGUGUGUGAAGAAGGCCUUCGGGUUGUAAAGCACUUUUGUCCGGAAAGAAAAC
This 445-nucleotide ribosomal RNA is filed under the name Paraburkholderia sabiae. Its description in RNAcentral is "bacterial SSU rRNA". It matches the Rfam family "Bacterial small subunit ribosomal RNA", at positions 1 to 452 of the family's 1533-position model. Lineage: Bacteria; Pseudomonadati; Pseudomonadota; Betaproteobacteria; Burkholderiales; Burkholderiaceae. The record is from RNAcentral.